RNAcentral lists this ribosomal RNA (254 nucleotides) under uncultured bacterium. RNAcentral's name for it is "partial 16S ribosomal RNA". It matches the Rfam family "Bacterial small subunit ribosomal RNA", at positions 524 to 776 of the family's 1533-position model. The record is from RNAcentral.
UACGUAGGGACCGAGCGUUGUCCGGAAUCAUUGGGCGUAAAGAGCGUGUAGGCGGCUAUUUAAGUCCUGCGUGAAAUCCUGCGGCUCAACCGCAGACGGUCGUGGGAAACUGGAUGGCUAGAGUGCGGGAGAGGAGAGUGGAAUUCCCGGUGUAGCGGUGAAAUGCGCAGAUAUCGGGAAGAACACCCGUGGCGAAGGCGGCUCUCUGGAACGCAACUGACGCUGAGUGAGCGAAAGCCAGGGGAGCAAACGGG